CUACGGGGUGCUGCAGUGGGGAAUAUUGCACAAUGGGCGCAAGCCUGAUGCAGCAACGCCGUGUGAGUGAUGAAGGUCUUCGGAUUGUAAAACUCUGUCCUAUGGGAAGAAAAAAAUGACGGUACCAUAGGAGGAAGCCCCGGCUAACUACGUGCCAGCAGCCGCGGUAAUACGUAGGGGGCAAGCGUUAUCCGGAAUCACUGGGCGUAAAGGGUGCGUAGGCGGCCUAUCAAGUCAGAGGUGAAAGGCAUUGGCUCAACCAAUGUAAGCCUUUGAAACUGUUAGGCUUGAGUGCAGGAGAGGUAAGUGGAAUUCCUAGUGUAGAGGUGAGAUUCGUAGAUAUUAGGAGGAACACCAGUGGCGAAGGCGACUUACUGGACUGUAACUGACGCUGAGGCACGAAAGCGUGGGGAGCGAACAGGAUUAGAUACCCGUGUAGUC
This 441-nucleotide ribosomal RNA is filed under the name uncultured bacterium. Its description in RNAcentral is "partial 16S ribosomal RNA". It matches the Rfam family "Bacterial small subunit ribosomal RNA", at positions 339 to 795 of the family's 1533-position model. The record is from RNAcentral.